Molecule: ribosomal RNA, 468 nt
Filed under: uncultured bacterium
Lineage: Bacteria
Description: partial 16S ribosomal RNA
Rfam family: Bacterial small subunit ribosomal RNA
Source: RNAcentral
GACGAACGCUGGCGGCGUGCUUAACACAUGCAAGUCGAACGGAAAGGCCCUGCUUUUGUGGGGUGCUCGAGUGGCGAACGGGUGAGUAACACGUGAGUAACCUGCCCUUGACUUUGGGAUAACUUCAGGAAACUGGGGCUAUUACCGGAUAGGAGCUCCUGCUGCAUGGUGGGGGUUGGAAAGUUUCGGCGGUUGGGGAUGGACUCGCGGCUUAUCAGCUUGUUGGUGGGGUAGUGGCUUACCAAGGCUUUGACGGGUAGCCGGCGUGAGAGGGUGACCGGCCACAUUGGGACUGAGAUACGGCCCAGACUCCUACGGGAGGCAGCAGUGGGGAAUAGUGCACAAUGGGCGGAAGCCUGAUGCAGCAACGCCGCGUGCGGGAUGACGGCCUUCGGGUUGUAAACCGCUUUCGCCUGUGACGAAGCGUGAGUGACGGUAAUGGGUAAAGAAGCACCGGCUAACUACGUG